This 446-nucleotide ribosomal RNA is filed under the name uncultured bacterium. Its description in RNAcentral is "partial 16S ribosomal RNA". It matches the Rfam family "Bacterial small subunit ribosomal RNA", at positions 330 to 792 of the family's 1533-position model. The record is from RNAcentral.
CCCAGACUCCUACGGGAGGCAGCAGUGGGGGAUAUUGCACAAUGGGGGGAACCCUGAUGCAGCGACGCCGCGUGGGUGAAGGAGCGUUUCGGCGCGUAAAGCCCUAUCGGCAGGGAAGAAGGAGGACGGUACCUGACUAAGAAGCCCCGGCUAACUACGUGCCAGCAGCCGCGGUAAUACGUAGGGGGCAAGCGUUAUCCGGAUUUACUGGGUGUAAAGGGGGCGCAGACGGCAGCGCAAGCCAGGAGUGAAAGCCCGGGGCCCAACCCCGGGACUGCUCUUGGAACUGCGCGGCUGGAGUGCAGGAGGGGCAGGCGGAAUUCCUGGUGUAGCGGUGAAAUGCGUAGAUAUCAGGAGGAACACCGGUGGCGGAGGCGGCCUGCUGGACUGCGACUGACGUUGAGGCCCGAAAGCGUGGGGAGCAAACAGGAUUAGAUACCCUAGUA